This is a long non-coding RNA of Tarenaya hassleriana, 195 nucleotides long. RefSeq lists it as uncharacterized. The record is from RefSeq and is a predicted model, not a curated record. NCBI's taxonomy places the organism in Eukaryota, Viridiplantae, Streptophyta, Magnoliopsida, Brassicales, Cleomaceae. The transcript is spliced from 3 exons.
AAAACUUUGGCCUUUUUCGUCAUUGCUACUUACGGAGAUGGGGAGCCUACAUAUAAUUCUGCAAAACGUCUUAUUCAAGUUGGUCUCGGAGAUGAUGAUCAGAGCAUCGAGGAUGAUUUUAAUGCCUGGAAAGAAGUGUUGGGGACGGCGGUUGUUGAUGACAGCAAAACUCCGGCAAUUCGAGCGAUUCCAGAU